AAAGCCGACGUGGAGGUGAUGCGCGGGAGCACAGAUCCGGGGCAGUGCGCUGCGCAGAGGCGCGCGGCGAAGCCGAGUGGGCGCGGGAGUGACGUCACGGCGCGCGACGUGGAGGCGGGGUCGGGCCUGGGUCCGACGGUAGUGGGUAGCGGGUCUCGGGUUGCGGCUUGCAGGUUGCAAGCCGCAGGCCCCAGGCAACUGCCUUCCCGGCGCCAUGUUCGGCUCCAGUCGUGGAGGCGUGCGCGGCGGGCAGGACCAGUUCAACUGGGAGGACGUGAAGACUGACAAGCAGCGGGAGAACUACCUGGGUGGGUGCGCGCGGUGGGCGGGCUCCGGGCUCCGGGAUCCCGGGUGGGCGCUGGACUCACAGCGUCUACGUCCGCAGGCAACUCGCUGAUGGCGCCGGUAGGCCGCUGGCAGAAGGGCCGCGACCUCACCUGGUACGCCAAGGGCCGGGCGCCAUGCGCGGGCCCGAGCCGCGAGGAGGAACUGGCAGCCGUGCGGGAGGCGGAGCGAGAGGCGCUGCUGGCCGCCCUUGGCUACAAGAACGUGAAGAAGCAGCCCACGGGCCUGAGCAAGGAGGACUUCGCGGAGGUCUGCAAGCGGGAAGGAGGCGACCCCGAGGAGAAGGGCGUGGACCGGCUGCUGGGGCUGGGGAGCGCCAGGUGCGGGCGGGUUUCCAGGGGAGGGCAGCACUGGGCUCGAUUGCUCGGGUGAGGCGGACCCCUGCCGUACUGUCUUCAUCGCCAUGUCCCUGCAGUGGCUCCGUGGGCCGCGUGGCGAUGUCCCGAGAGGACAAGGAGGCCGCCAAACUGGGGCUGUCUGUAUUCACGGUAAUCCCCCGCCCCGCCUGACCGCAGCAGGGGCCAACAGGGGUGGGGCGGGGGCACUAAACGGAGCUCCCCGGGGCGCUGCGGGGCGUGGUGUGGGGCCGGUCCGCAGACUCCUCCCCAGAGCUCGCUUCUUCCGCAGCAUCACCGCGUAGAGAGCGGCGGGCCCGGGACCUCGGCAGCCUCGGCCAGGAGGAAGCCGCGGGCGGAGGAUCAGACGGAAAGCAGGUGAGGCUGUGCCAACUGGGCUAGCUGUGCCCCGGGGUGGGGGGUCUCGGGAGGACCGGAGCGGCUCCCACUCGGGCAGGUGGCAGCUUCUCUUGGCGCACCGGCCCGGCCGGUGGCCUGCCCUACUUUACUUCCUGUCCCACUUACUCCUAGGUUUUUCUCUAGGGGAGUUUCUCGGGUCACCCUUGAAGAGAGGUCCUAAGUACUGGCAGUGGUCGGGGGCUGUGCCGUGGGGGGGCACUCAGGACCUGGGGCGGGGCCUUUUCCUGCCGUGGGUGGCACCUCCAGGGCUUCUCCUGGGUGGUGAGCCUGGGCUUGACCCCAAGAGUGGCCUGGUGGGUGCAGGUAGGAAGGUGUCAACCUGCCAAGGGCACGGCUGGGGUGGGGCAGGGGCGUGCUGUGGAGAUGGGGAUAUUGCAUCUGUUUCUAACCCACGUAGCCACUGGCCACGUGACUACGUAACUGAGGAGUGGAAUUUGUAGUUUGAUUUAACUGAUUUAAAGACGCAUUUGUGGGUGGUGGCUUCAUCUCCUGGAUGGGGCCUGCUUGUGUUCACUCUCUUGGCUUGCAAGACUAGGGUCUGAGGCACACCUUGUAUCCUCCUUGUAGUUGUGAGAGCCACAGGAAAAGCAAGAAGGAGAAGAAGAAAAAGAAAAAGAGGAAACACAAGAAAGAGAAGAAGAAGAAAGACAAAGAGCACAGGCGGCCAGCUGAGGCCACCUCCUCUCCCACAUCUCCUGAGAGGCCCAGGCACCACCACCAUGACUCCGACUCCAACUCCCCCUGCUGUAAGAGGAGGAAGCGGGGACACAGUGGGGACAGGAGGAGCCCGUCUCGCAGGUGGCAUGACAGAGGCUCUGAGGCCUGAUGGCUGGACCCUGCUCACUGCUAUUGUGGGACCCUGAACCCUCCCUUCACCUUGUUUGCCUCCUGCCUCAGAAGCUCCUCGGGUGUGGGUGAAGCCCGAGGCUGCUCCUGUGGAAAUGGCUCUGGGCAUCAGCCUGUGGGGCUAAAGACUUGACAGCUAGCUCUGGAGCAGCCGGCUUCCUGGAAAACCUCCAGGUUUCGCAUACCAGGGAUGGCCCCUGGCUUGGCCUGCGAAGGUGAACCUGCCCAGAUUUAUUAGUAGAGGCUGGACUCCCUCUGUGUCCUGCCCAUGGUUGCAGCAGCCAUGGGCCUAUGAGCGGUCUAACUGUGGCCAAGUAUGGUGACCUCUAUUUUUCUUUAUAUUGACUCUUUGUAUUUCAAUAAAUAUAUUUUAAAAGGAAGGUAU
This 2331-nucleotide small RNA is filed under the name Pan troglodytes (chimpanzee). Its description in RNAcentral is "processed transcript". Lineage: Eukaryota; Metazoa; Chordata; Mammalia; Primates; Hominidae. The record is from RNAcentral.